AGAGUUUGAUCCUGGCUCAGGACGAACGCUGGCGGCGUGCUUAACACAUGCAAGUCGAACGAUGAAGCGGUGCUUGCACCGUGGAUUAGUGGCGAACGGGUGAGUAACACGUGAGUAACCUGCCCUUCACUCUGGGAUAACUCCGGGAAACCGGUGCUAAUACUGGAUACGACCUCAACCUGCAUGGGUAUGGGGUGGAAAGCUUUUGUGGUGGAGGAUGGACUCGCGGCCUAUCAGCUUGUUGGUGGGGUAAUGGCCCACCAAGGCGACGACGGGUAGCCGGCCUGAGAGGGUGACCGGCCACACUGGGACUGAGACACGGCCCAGACUCCUACGGGAGGCAGCAGUGGGGAAUAUUGCACAAUGGGCGAAAGCCUGAUGCAGCGACGCCGCGCGAGGGAUGACGGCCUUCGGGUUGUAAACCUCUUUCAGCUCUGACGAAGCUUUAUUGUGACGGUAGGAGCAGAAGAAGCACCGGCUAACUACGUG
This 489-nucleotide ribosomal RNA is filed under the name uncultured Ornithinimicrobium sp. Its description in RNAcentral is "bacterial SSU rRNA". It matches the Rfam family "Bacterial small subunit ribosomal RNA", at positions 8 to 507 of the family's 1533-position model. The record is from RNAcentral. Lineage: Bacteria; Bacillati; Actinomycetota; Actinomycetes; Micrococcales; Ornithinimicrobiaceae.